GUUUUCGUAGUGUAUUGGUUAUCACGUGCGCUUUACACGCGCAAGGUCCCCAGUUAUAUCCUGGGUGAAAACA
RNAcentral lists this transfer RNA (73 nucleotides) under Dendronephthya gigantea. Its description in RNAcentral is "tRNA-Val". The record is from RNAcentral. Lineage: Eukaryota; Metazoa; Cnidaria; Anthozoa; Malacalcyonacea; Nephtheidae.